UACGGAGGGUGCAAGCGUUAUCCGGAUUUACUGGGUUUAAAGGGUGCGCAGGCGGAUAUGUAAGUCAGUGGUGAAAUCUUCCCGCUUAACGGGAAAACUGCCAUUGAUACUAUAUAUCUUGAAUGCUGUGGAGGUAAGCAGAAUAUGUCAUGUAGCGGUGAAAUGCUUAGAGAUGACAUAGAAUACCAAUUGCGUAGGCAGCUUACUACACGAUCAUUGACGCUGAGGCACGAAAGCGUGGGGAGCAAACAGG
RNAcentral lists this ribosomal RNA (253 nucleotides) under uncultured bacterium. RNAcentral describes it as "partial 16S ribosomal RNA". It matches the Rfam family "Bacterial small subunit ribosomal RNA", at positions 524 to 776 of the family's 1533-position model. The record is from RNAcentral.